RNAcentral lists this ribosomal RNA (413 nucleotides) under uncultured prokaryote. RNAcentral describes it as "bacterial SSU rRNA". It matches the Rfam family "Bacterial small subunit ribosomal RNA", at positions 505 to 918 of the family's 1533-position model. The record is from RNAcentral.
GUGUCAGCCGCCGCGGUAAUACGGAGGGUGCAAGCGUUAUCCGGAAUUACUGGGUUUAAAGGGUGCGUAGGCGGUUCGGCAAGUCAGAUGUGAAAUCCCCCGGCCUAACCGGGGAACUGCGUUUGAAACUGCCGUGCUUGAGUGCGAUAGGGGUGCGCGGAACUUCCAGUGGAGCGGUGAAAUGCGUUGAUAUUGGAAGGAACGCCGGUGGCGAAAGCGGCGCACUGGGUCGUUACUGACGCUGAGACACGAAAGCCAGGGGAGCGAACGGGAUUAGAUACCCCGGUAGUCCUGGCUGUAAACGAUGGGCACUAGACGGGAGACGCUUCGGCGGAUCCGGUCGCAGCGAAAGCACUAAGUGCCCCGCCUGGGGAGUAUGGUCGCAAGGCUGAAACUUAAAUGAAUUGACGGGG